GGGGGGGACGAGCGUUGUUCGGAUUUACUGGGAGUAAAGGGCGUGUAGGCGGACUUUCAAGUCGGAAGUGAAAACCGGAGGCUUAACCUCAGGCUUGCUUUCGAUACUGUCAGUCUUGAGUGCAGAAGAGGAAAGCGGAAUUCCAGGUGUAGCGGUGAAAUGCGUAGAUAUCUGGAAGAACACCAGUAGCGAAGGCGGCUUUCUGGUCUGACACUGACGCUAAAGCGCGAAGGCUAGGGGAGCAAACAGGAUUAGAUACCCUGGUAGUCCUAGCGGUAAACGAUGGGUACUAGGUGUCGGGGGUAUCGACCCCCUCGGUGCCGAAGUUAACGCAUUAAGUACCCCGCCUGGGGAGUACGACCGCAAGGUUG
Molecule: ribosomal RNA, 371 nt
Filed under: uncultured bacterium
Lineage: Bacteria
Description: bacterial SSU rRNA
Rfam family: Bacterial small subunit ribosomal RNA
Source: RNAcentral